AGAGUUUGAUCAUGGCUCAGGAUGAACGCUGGCGGCGUGCCUAACACAUGCAAGUCGAACGGAAUUUACAUGAAGCCUAGCGAUUGUAAAUUUAGUGGCGGACGGGUGAGUAACGCGUGGGUAACCUGCCUUGUACUGGGGGACAACUUAGUGGAAACGACUGCUAAUACCGCAUAAGCGCACGGCUUCGCAUGAAGCAGUGUGAAAAACUCCGGUGGUACAAGAUGGACCCGCGUCUGAUUAGCUGGUUGGUGAGGUAACGGCCACCAAGGCGACGAUCAGUAGCCGGCCUGAGAGGGUGAACGGCCACAUUGGGACUGAGACACGGCCCAAACUCCUACGGAGGCA
RNAcentral lists this ribosomal RNA (348 nucleotides) under uncultured bacterium. RNAcentral's name for it is "bacterial SSU rRNA". It matches the Rfam family "Bacterial small subunit ribosomal RNA", at positions 8 to 350 of the family's 1533-position model. The record is from RNAcentral.